ACCCCGCCACCCCGCCUGCCGCGGCCGGUUACCUUCCUCGUAGCCCCACUCCACCCCCUCCUCCUCCUCCUCUUCAUCCUCCUCCUUCUCCGGGAAGGCGACGGAAUCCUCGAUGAAGCUCAGGCUGGGUUGCUUUGUAAGAGCUAGGACGUGAUGCUGAAGAUCUCCCAGGAGCUGAAGGAAGAGCAUGGUCUUACUCUUAUGCCUGUGUGUGCUGCCAAGGUUUUGGGUAGGAUGCUAUCAUUGCCAUCGGGCAUUCCAUCCAACUUCACUAUAUUGGAAAUUCUCUAA
This 291-nucleotide long non-coding RNA is filed under the name Canis lupus dingo (dingo). Its description in RNAcentral is "lncRNA (ENSCAFG00020015845.1)". Lineage: Eukaryota; Metazoa; Chordata; Mammalia; Carnivora; Canidae. The record is from RNAcentral.